This 446-nucleotide ribosomal RNA is filed under the name uncultured organism. RNAcentral describes it as "partial 16S ribosomal RNA". It matches the Rfam family "Bacterial small subunit ribosomal RNA", at positions 335 to 797 of the family's 1533-position model. The record is from RNAcentral.
ACUCCUGCGGGAGGCAGCAGUGGGGAAUAUUGGACACUGGGCGCAAGCCUGAUCCAGCCAUGCCGCGUGAGUGAUGAAGGCCCUAGGGUUGUAAAGCUCUUUCACCGGUGAAGAUAAUGACGGUAACCGGAGAAGAAGCCCCGGCUAACUUCGUGCCAGCAGCCGCGGUAAUACGAAGGGGGCUAGCGUUGUUCGGAUUUACUGGGCGUAAAGCGCACGUAGGCGGACUAUUAAGUCAGGGGUGAAAUCCCGGGGCUCAACCCCGGAACUGCCUUUGAUACUGGUAGUCUUGAGUUCGAGAGAGGUGAGUGGAAUUCCGAGUGUAGAGGUGAAAUUCGUAGAUAUUCGGAGGAACACCAGUGGCGAAGGCGGCUCACUGGCUCGAUACUGACGCUGAGGUGCGAAAGCGUGGGGAGCAAACAGGAUUAGAUACCCCUGUAGUCCCA